Molecule: long non-coding RNA, 2601 nt
Organism: Neogobius melanostomus (round goby)
Lineage: Eukaryota; Metazoa; Chordata; Actinopteri; Gobiiformes; Gobiidae
Source: Ensembl
GCUGUGGAUGCUGCAGACACCUGACCAACAGAGAUCAUGAAACUGUCCGUGAGUUUGCUCGCUCUUGCGGUGCUGCUGCUGUGUGUUCACUGGCAGGCCCAGGCUGAGCUAAGCAAGAGGGAGAUCGCGAGAGCGGUGAGAUCGGCUAAAGCAGAUGUGGAUGCAGCGUACGAGUCCUCGAGAAGAGAGAGUCUGGAUCGUUUUCGGAGGGACGCCGUCUCUCCCGCCGACGUCCUGAGGUUGAUGAAGCAGCCUCUGGGCCGGAACAGAGAGGCCGUGCGCAGCGCAGACUACUUUCACGGAGCGCUCCAGUUCAUCGAGAACAUGCCCCACAGGAGGCGCCGGCGAUCUCUGAUGUCCAACUCCACAGGACUGUCAGCGGAGGACUUCGCGGCCCUGGCCGCGGCGACCGGCUGCGCCCGCUUGACCGUAGCGCCUUCAUGCGAGCGCGUCCCCAACCUCAACAAGUACCGCACGGCCGACUCCGGAGAACGCGCUGUGGGGGCCUCCAACAUCCCGUUCCUGCGCCAGCUGCCCGCGGAGUACCAGGACGGGAGGUUCCUGCCCAAAGGCUGGGACCCCGAGGUCAAGGUCAACGGACACCUGCUCCCACUGGUGAGGGAGGUGUCCAACCACAUCCUUGCCACCGGAAACACGGUUGUAAAUGACGACUUGUUCUCCACGCUGAUAACGUUCUUCGGUCAGUGGACGGACCAUGACUUCUCUUCCAACGCCAGCUGCGUGGACACGUGUACACGCGAAGAGCCCUGCUUCCCCAUAAAGGUCCUCAACAGUGACUCCAGGCUGGCCAGGCACGGCUGCAUCCCUUUCAUCCGCUCGUCUCCGGCGUGCUCGGGGAGUUCGGUCCGGGAGCAGAUCAACACUCUCACGGCCUACCUGGAUGUGGGGCAGGUGUACGGGUCGGACCACGUGAAGGCCAAGGCGCUUCGGGACUUCACCUCCGACAAGGGGCUCCUGAAGGUCAACCAGGAGUACGACGACAACGGGCGCGAGGUGCUCCCCUUCAGAAGCAUGCCCGUCAACAUGUGUGCCACCAGGAGGAGCAUGACCAAAGACAACAACGCCAAGGAGGUGCCCUGCUUUCUGGCCGGUGAUGACCGUGUGAUAGAAAAUAUAGCCCUGGCUUCUAUCCACACUCUGAUGCUGAGGGAGCACAACCGUCUGGCCCGACAACUGGCCAUCCUCAACCCGCGCUGGGACGGGGAGCAGCUGUACCAGGAGGCCCGCAAGAUCCUCGGAGGAAUGAGCCAGGUCAUCACGUACCGGGACUACCUGGGGCUCAUCGUGGGCCCUGAGGCCAUGGCCAAGAGCUUGUCCACGUACCCAGGCUACAACAGCGAGGUGGACCCGAGCGUCUCCAGCGUGUUCGCCACCGCCGCCUUCCGCUUUGCCCAUCUCACGAUUCAGCCCAAGCAGUUCAGGCUGGACGAAGACUACCAGGAGCAUCGCGACUACCCCAGCCCAGACCUGCACCGCGCAUUCUUCACGCCCUGGAGGGUGCUCUUUGAAGGUGGUGUGGACCCCAUAGUGCGCGGAUUGGUGGGGAGGCCGACCAAACUGAACACCCAGGACCACAUGUUGGUCGACGAGCUCCGGGAGAGACUGUUCCAGUUCAACGAACAGUUGGCUCUGGACCUGGCCGCUCUCAACAUGCAGAGAGGGAGGGAUCACGGCCUGCCAGGAUACAACGCGUGGCGAGGGUUCUGCGGCCUGUCCCAGCCGAGGAACGAGAAAGAGUUGGGCCAAGUCCUGGGGAACCCUGAUCUGGCUCGGAAACUCCUGGCACUCUACAAGACACCGGACAACAUCGACGUGUGGAUGGGGGGUGUGGCCGAGCCCUUUGUGGCCGGGGCCGAGAGGGUUCAACAGGGCGACAGACUGUGGUGGGAGAACGAGGGUGUGUUCACGGAGGCUCAGAAAAAGUCACUGCGAAGCGCCUCCUUUGCUCGGAUCAUCUGCGACAACACCGGCAUCACGGAGGUCCCCGCCCAGCCCUUCCGGUUCCGCCCACGCGGCUACGGCUACACCUCCUGCUCGGAUAUCCCGAAGAUGGACCUGUCCCCCUGGCAGGAGAACGCACUGCAAGGACCUUACGGACAACCAGGUAAAUAUCAACAUCGGUGUUUUUGUGCAGACACCUUUCCCCACCCCGGCCCGUCUCUCCCUGCUCCCACUGUGGCCUUCUCCGCUCGCCUGGGCAACAACUACCCCGCCCGACACACGCCCAUCGUCUUCCACGAGGUCAUCUACAACCGCCCGGGGCACUACGACCAGCGCUCCGGCAUCUUCACGUGCGUGAUCCCCGGGGUGUACGAGUUCCACAUGACCCUCCAGAUCUUCAACGCCAACGUCGGGGUGGACCUCAUGUGCAACCGGGACCUCCUGCUGCACUCCUACAACUCGCAGCACAGCGCACACAUCAUGUCCAGCGGCAGCACCAUCACCCGCCUGCACCGGGGCGACAGGGUGUACCUGGUGAUAAACGAGGGCACCAACAGUUUGGUGAAGGACAGUCAGUUCAGCGGACACCUGCUGUUCACCGAGGACGACAACCAGAUGGACAAUGAGUCUGCGCUCUAA